RNAcentral lists this ribosomal RNA (585 nucleotides) under Triticum aestivum (bread wheat). Its description in RNAcentral is "partial small subunit ribosomal RNA". Lineage: Eukaryota; Viridiplantae; Streptophyta; Magnoliopsida; Poales; Poaceae. The record is from RNAcentral.
AUGACUCGGCGUAGGAACCAAAGAGAUCUGAACCCAUUCCAGCAAUAUCUCCAACAUUGUCACCAACAUUGUCUGCAUUACGGCCGGGUUCCUCGGGUCGUCUUCAGGGAUGUUCCUUUCUACUUUCCCAACAAGAUCAGCACCAACAUCAGCAGCUUUGGUGUAAAUCCCACCGCCUACACGGCCGAAAAGAGCCAUGGAAGAACCGCCAAGACCAUAACCGGUGAUAGCCUCGAAAAGACCCUCCCAGUCAUCGCCAUAAUAAAGCCCAAACAAGUUGAUUGCGACGUAAAGAACAAAAAGGCCACUUGCAGCAAGAAGGAAGCCCAUCACAGCACCAGAGCGGAAAGCAACGAUAAACGCCUUCCCAACACCCUUCCUUGCCUCGAGAGUUGUCCUGGCAUUCGCGUAAGUCGCGAUCUUCAUUCCAAGGAAACCAGACACCAGAGAGGUGACCGCACCCAGCACAAAGGCAAUUGUGCUGAACGCGGCAUUAGCAAGAGCCGGCUUGCAUGUCUUGCCCACGCUGUAAUGGCAAGACCGGUUCUUUUCCGUUCCGUUCCCCCACCUUCAGCGGAGGAUUAG